Molecule: ribosomal RNA, 552 nt
Filed under: uncultured fungus
Lineage: Eukaryota; Fungi
Description: eukaryotic LSU rRNA
Rfam family: Eukaryotic large subunit ribosomal RNA
Source: RNAcentral
GGGAUUGCCCCAGUAACGGCGAGUGAAGCGGCAACAGCUCAAAUUUGAAAUCUGGCCCCCAGGGCCCGAGUUGUAAUUUGCAGAGGAUGCUUUUGGCGCGGUGCCUUCCGAGUUCCCUGGAACGGGACGCCAUAGAGGGUGAGAGCCCCGUCUGGUCGGACACCAAGCCAGUGUAAAGCUCCUUCGACGAGUCGAGUAGUUUGGGAAUGCUGCUCUAAAUGGGAGGUAUAUGUCUUCUAAAGCUAAAUACCGGCCAGAGACCGAUAGCGCACAAGUAGAGUGAUCGAAAGAUGAAAAGCACUUUGAAAAGAGGGUUAAACAGUACGUGAAAUUGUUGAAAGGGAAGCGUUUAUGACCAGACUUGGGCCCGGUGAAUCAUCCAGCGUUCUCGCUGGUGCACUUUGCCGGGCUCAGGCCAGCAUCAGUUCGCCGCGGGGGAUAAAGGCUUCGGGAACGUGGCUCCCUCGGGAGUGUUAUAGCCCGUUGCGUAAUACCCUGUGGCGGACUGAGGUUCGCGCUCCGCAAGGAUGCUGGCGUAAUGGUCAUCAGCGA